AACGCACAUUGCGCCCAUUGGUAUUCCGAUGGGCACGUCUGUUUGAGCGUCAUUACAAUCCUUCGGCAGGAAUUUUUACGAAUUCUCGACCGGUUGUGAGCUCCGACCUUAACCGGCCGGGCUUUAAAGUGGCACGCUCUGCGGGUGACCUAACCUGAACGAACAUAGUAGAAUCCAUUCAACCUGUUCAAUUAAGGGAUUGUCAACUCCGCCUGAACAAUAACCUAAAUUUUCUAAGGUUUGACCUCAGAUCAGACGAGGAUACCCGCUGAACUUAA
This 278-nucleotide unclassified non-coding RNA is filed under the name uncultured fungus. RNAcentral describes it as "partial contains 5.8S ribosomal RNA, internal transcribed spacer 2, and large subunit ribosomal RNA". The stretch from base 1 to 52 matches the Rfam family "5.8S ribosomal RNA", at positions 103 to 154 of the family's 154-position model. The record is from RNAcentral. Lineage: Eukaryota; Fungi.